RNAcentral lists this ribosomal RNA (463 nucleotides) under uncultured bacterium. RNAcentral's name for it is "bacterial SSU rRNA". It matches the Rfam family "Bacterial small subunit ribosomal RNA", at positions 355 to 825 of the family's 1533-position model. The record is from RNAcentral.
UGGGGAAUUUUGGACAAUGGGCGAAAGCCUGACGCAGCGACGCCGCGUGGGGGAUGAAGCUUCUCGGAGUGUAAACCCCUUUCGAUCCUGACGAAACGCCUCGCAAGAGGAAUUGACGGUAGGGAGAGAAGAAGCCCCGGCUAACUACGUGCCAGCAGCCGCGGUAAGACGUAGGGGGCCAGCGUUGCUCGGAAUUACUGGGCGUAAAGGGUUCGUAGGCGGUGCGGCAAGUCUCGAGUGAAAUCUCUGGGCUCAACCCAGAGGCUGCUCGGGAAACUGCUGUGCUCGAGUCCGGGAGAGGCGCGUGGAAUUGCAGGUGUAGCGGUGAAAUGCGUAGAUAUCUGCAGGAACACCAGAGGCGAAAGCGGCGCGCUGGACCGGUACUGACGCUGAGGAACGAAAGCUAGGGGAGCAAACAGGAUUAGAUACCCCCGUAGUCCCUGAGCGGGCUGGCAAGGCGCAU